AGAGUUUGAUCCUGGCUCAGGAUGAACUCUGGCGGCGUGCCUAAUACAUGCAAGUCGAGCGAACCACUUCGGUGGGAAGCGGCGAACGGGUGAGUAACACGUAGGUGAUCUGCCCAUCAGACGGGGACAACGAUUGGAAACGAUCGCUAAUACCGGAUAGGACGAAAGUUUAAAGAUGCUCCUGGCAUCACUGAUGGAUGAGCCUGCGGCGCAUUAGCUAGUUGGUGGGGUAAAGGCCUACCAAGGCGACGAUGCGUAGCCGACCUGAGAGGGUGAACGGCCACACUGGGACUGAGACACGGCCCAGACUCCUACGGGAGGCAGCAGUAGGGAAUCUUCGGCAAUGGGCGAAAGCCUGACCGAGCAACGUCGCGUGAAUGAAGAAGGCCUUCGGGUUGUAAAAUUCUGUUAUAAGGGAAGAAAGGUGAUAGGAGGAAAUGACUAUCAAUUGACGGUACCUUAUGAGAAAGCCACGGCUAACUACGUGCCAGCAGCCGCGGUAAUACGUAGGUGGCAAGCGUUAUCCGGAAUUAUUGGGCGUAAAGAGCGCGCAGGUGGUUAAUUAAGUCUGAUGUGAAAGCCCACGGCUUAACCGUGGAGGGUCAUUGGAAACUGGUUGACUUGAGUGCAGAAGAGGGAAGUGGAAUUCCAUGUGUAGCGGUGAAAUGCGUAGAGAUAUGGAGGAACACCAGUGGCGAAGGCGGCUUCCUGGUCUGCAACUGACACUGAGGCGCGAAAGCGUGGGGAGCAAACAGGAUUAGAUACCCUGGUAGUCCACGCCGUAAACGAUGAGUGCUAAGUGUUGGGGGUCGAACCUCAGUGCUGAAGUUAACGCAUUAAGCACUCCGCCUGGGGAGUACGGUCGCAAGACUGAAACUCAAAGGAAUUGACGGGGACCCGCACAAGCGGUGGAGCAUGUGGUUUAAUUCGAUGAUACGCGAGGAACCUUACCCGGGCUCAAACGACGCAGGGAUGUAUGUGAAAGCAUACAGUCCUUUCAGGACCUGCGUCGAGGUGCUGCAUGGUUGUCGUCAGCUCGUGCCGUGAGGUGUCGGCUUAAGUGCCAUAACGAGCGCAACCCCCAUCUUCAGUUGCCAUCAGGUAGAGCUGGGCACUCUGGAGAGACUGCCGGCGCAAGCUGCGAGGAAGGCGGGGAUGACGUCAAAUCAGCACGGCCCUUACGUCCGGGGCGACACACGUGUUACAAUGGCAGGUACAGCGGGAAGCCAGGCGGCGACGCCGAGCGGAACCCGAAAACCUGUCUCAGUUCGGAUCGGAGUCUGCAACCCGACUCCGUGAAGCUGGAUUCGCUAGUAAUCGCGCAUCAGCCAUGGCGCGGUGAAUACGUUCCCGGGCCUUGCACACACCGCCCGUCA
Molecule: ribosomal RNA, 1376 nt
Filed under: uncultured bacterium
Lineage: Bacteria
Description: bacterial SSU rRNA
Rfam family: Bacterial small subunit ribosomal RNA
Source: RNAcentral